CAUUUAUUGAUUUUGAACUACUCAAGGUUAUCCCUAUGUUGUAGGCUACAAAGAAGCGUGAGCAUAUCUCUUUCUUCUGACACCUUAACUCUUUUAUUUUUAACCACAACAGUUCCAUUCACCUAGGUAUCUAAAUCCUCAUCUCCUCCACCUUUGGCCACCAUCAUUUGAAGACUGUCGACAGAGCUAUGCAAUUUGUUCUUUCUCAAUUUCUGAUUCAAUUUGUGGAUAAAUGUAUGUUUCUCUAUGAUCUACUUUGUUUCAUUUUUGCUUUUCUUCAUUUUUUUGUAGCGGGGAGACUCAUUCUGCUUCUCUAUGAUAAAUAUGUUUUCUGUUGAUUCUGCAUCUUCAUAUCCUUAGCCUUUUCAUCAAGCCUCUGAUUGCAUGACGUGUUCACAAGUUAGAGAAGAUUCAAGCUACUGUGGAAAGGAAUUUGGUUGCUAAAAUUAAGUCUGAGGUAGAGGAAGGUCAAGCCUAUGAAGUUGAGAAUGUAUUGUUCACGCAUAAUGAUCCAAAAUAUGUUACUACAAGUCAUAAGUAUAAAUUAUAUUGAAUUUGAUUGAUUGAACAACGUGGACCAAGGUUGAUUAAAAUGUUAUACCAAACAACCAUUUCGAUUUCAUGGCUUUUAACGAUGUUAUGCAAUAAGGAAACGAAGGACAAUACAUAUACAUCAAUGGACAUGUCGUCGAGAAGGAUGAUAUAAGAGAUAAGGAGGUUAAUGGGAGGACAAGCAAACUAAUUGACAUCACACUAGAAGACUUGGAGAUUCACUGUUCACUAUGGGGGGAUUAUGCUAGACAAAUGCAUUCCUACCUGACAAGUCAGAGUGGAUCGUUUCCAAUUGUGAUUGUGUUGCAACUUUGCAAAUUAAAAAAAUACUUUGGCGUGAUGGGAGUAUCGAAUGCAUUUCAUGGGACAAAAUUGAUUAUUAAUUCAGAUGAUUCUGCCAUUAGAGAAUAUAUGACCAAACUUGAGGGUGUUGAUGUGGAGGUAUCUCAGGGUGUGAGUCAAGUAAGUGGUUUGCAAAUCGUGCCCAUGUCUGAUGAUAUGCUUCAAUUGCACAUGAUGAUGAUUGAAGAUAUAAUUGAGUCGACUGAUUCAUGUGUAGCGGUUGUUGUUGCAACAAUUUGUGAUAUUGAGGCAGAACAUUGGUGGUAUUAUGAGGCAUGUACAAAGUGUGCUGGAAGGGUCACAAUUGUUGCUGGUAGGAUGUUCUGUGGAAGGUGUAAUCAAUCUAGGAAUGCAGUUCAAAGGUGUGUUCCGAUGAGGAAGUAGUUGAUGACCCUAACGUCAAUGUAUCGCCAUUGUCAAAUGAACCAUCCAUUGAGGUUCGACUACUUGAAGGGGGGAUUCAACAAAGUCUGAUAAAAAAAUGCGUAACCAAUUAAAUGCAGUCGAUGAACUGACACCAGCUAGCAAGAGAAGUGGCAAGAAAUCUGCUGAAACUGUGGACCUUAUUAAUAUUGAAAAGGAGCUGACAAAAGGAUCAACAACCAAAGCUGUGAAAUUGAAGUCCGUCAAGGUUGAGAAGAAGUAAAUGUGGAAGUGUUUGCCUACCAGCCGAUCGUGUAUCAUAAUAAUAAUAAAGUCUGUCACCGUAAUUUAAAAUAAGUUCCUGCUUUUUUCCAAAAUUUUGAAAGUAUGGAUGGAUAUUUAUAUUUUGCUCAUUUGUCGUUGUCGUAUUCGAUUGUUUUCGAAUUUUAAAUACCUAUCAUGGUUUUGCAGUUUGUUGAAGUUUUAAGUUUUAA
Medicago truncatula (barrel medic) is the source of this 1751-nucleotide RNA transcript. RefSeq lists it as uncharacterized. The record is from RefSeq and is a predicted model, not a curated record. The transcript is spliced from 9 exons. NCBI's taxonomy places the organism in Eukaryota, Viridiplantae, Streptophyta, Magnoliopsida, Fabales, Fabaceae.